GAUUAACGUUAGCUACUGUCUCAUGCCAUCUCAGAAUUAUCCUAAUCUUCUUAGUUUAUUUCCUUACGUUUCUAAUCUGUAAAAGUGUAAAAAUAAUAACAUUUAAAUUCCUGAGUUGUCAUAGGUAUGCAUUCCUUACAUUUUGACCAAAUGAAUAUAUAUUAAAACAAGUAAGGAUGGUACUCAGUAGAACACUUAUCUUCAUACUGAUUGUUUGUAGUGCACAGCGUGGAUGACAACUGGACUGUAGUUCCUGAAAAUGUAUUUGUUUUCAAUCAAAUUAUUUUUUGUACUUAUAAAUGAUAAAUAUAUUAUAUCUCAAUAGUAAAUAAUUUUUUUUUGGUAAAAUACAAUAGUAAAUAAUUGACAGUAAUAGUAUAUUAUCUUUCAUUCAAUACGCACCCGUGAUAGUUUAUAUACAUCGAUCAAUGUUUAAUGAUACAGAUUUUUUCAUUUGUAGAAAUAUUUGUGAACUCCCGUUGCAAACCUCACAAUAAAAACAAAAUAAAGUAAGAAUAUAUUUUGUAAAAAUAAAAAUAGAAGAAAUUACAAUGAAGAUAAGAAAUAUUUUUGUUUUCGAGAAUAUGAAAAUAUAUCUUUUGAUAAAAUAUUAUUAUUUAUUAUAAAUACUUUUGGUUUUGUCAACUAUAAAUACUUAUUUAAUUUUUUUUAUUGUAAGAGGAUCUACAACUUUAACAAACGGGAGUUUAUUUAAUUGUAUACCUUUUGAAUGUUUGUUUCAGACAAACUCAACACCAUGUUUGUACGGCUUAAACUUUAAAGAAAUUAUUUACUUAUAAGUCAUCGCAACACGUUUCCAUCUCAUCUGAAUAAGAAAUAAAAUCAUCGUAUCCAACAUGCAAACCAGAUUAAAAAAAUAAGUUAGUUCUGAAAAUACAAUAUUUAAAAGAGAUAUGGAUGAAGAAGAGAAAAGGAAAUAACAAUGGAUUUACCUUUUAGGGAUCAGAUGAAGUGUUACUUUCGGAAAUCACCAUCUUCUUCAAUUCUUCUCUUUAACCGAGAGGAACCGACAGCUGAGAGAGUGAAAUGUUUUUAAUGAAACCUGAAAAAAAACACAUGUUUGUCUGUUCCUUUAAUGGGCUUUAGAUUAAAAAAAUCUCAAGGCCCAAACUAAAAACACAUCUUUAAUAUAUAACCACUGCAUUAUAUUUAUAAUAAUUAUUUGAACUGAAUUUAUCUAAUUUAUUAAUUUAUUUUAAAUAAAUAUUUAAUUGAAAUGAUCGAAUUUUAUUUAGUUAAUUAACUUAAAUAUCAUAAAAAUUAAGUGUAAAUAUAUUACUAACAUUAUAUUUAAAACACAAACAAGCCUAUUAACCGAAAACAAAAAUAACUAUAUUUGAAGAAAAUAUAAUUUUAUAAACUAACAUAACUUUUUUUUCAAUAUCGAAUAUUAUUAAACGAAAUUAAAAUUUCUAAGUUCCUUAACAAGAAAAAAAAGGAUCCAAAUCGCUGAAGGUACCAAAUGGAUGUACAAGAAAAUGAACACAAACCUUUGGAGUUUUUGUCUAUUGAAUCACCAAAUCGAAUGAGCUCAACAAGGUCUUUCUUUCAAUGCAUCCGACCAACUUCUAUUUCAUCGGAUCUAUUAUAUUAUUUAAGUCAUCGGAGGGACAUGCAAAACAAAUAAAAUAAGCUUUGUGUAAGAAUUGAUUUGAAUUCAACUCUCUACCGAGGAUGAAGAAAAUAGAGUAAAAGGUUUACCUUGGAGACGAGGUCGAUUCGUGGAAGACAAAACUCAUUGCUUGCUUCAAUCGCCUUUUGAGAGUUUGAUUUUUUUUUUGUAACCAGAAAGUUGUCUGAAAGUGGCAAAAAUAUCUGGAGUCUAUCGGGUAGAAGCUAGAAUUAGUGUGAGCUUGGGCCGAUUUUGAUGAAAUCCUUAUAUAAAAGAAUUUGCUUAAGAAAAAAAAAAUUACAGCCCAUCUUGAUAAUUUUAUAAGCUUAAUUAUAAUCAAGCCAUAUUCUGGCCCAUUUAAAAAAAAAUAACAAUCACAUAUCAAAUAAAAAGAAUUAAAUUAUAAUUAAUUCAACAUUUAUAAUGUACUAAUAAUAUAAACAUUCAAAGUUUUUUUUUUAAAAAAACUAUAACAUUUUUUUCAACUUUAUUGUAAUUAAUAGUUAAGAUAAAUAUAUGUUAUCCUAUAUCCUACAAAGGAAUAUUGAUCAAACUCUAUUCCCAAGUAAAACUUUACCACAAAUAAAUAUUAUAUGUGUACAAUAUAAUUUAUUCAUAAUUUAAAAUCUGAAAGGCAUAGAAAUCAUAAUUUACCUUGACUUUAAGUUAACAAAUAAAAAAUCAAUAGUAUUAUAGUAAUAGCAGAUUGAUAUAUUGUUAUUAUGUGAAAAAUUUAGACAACUUUCUCAAUUGUGUAGUUCGAAAUAACAUUAAACAUGUAGACAUUUAAUCUCUUAUAAGAUACAAGCAAAAUAUACAUAUUUGGAUAUGUUAAUAUAACUGAAACAAUCCUCGGGCCGAGGAUUCCUCGCACUUUCAUAAUAUAAAUGCUAUUUUUUGCUAUCUUAUUAUACCCUAUUUAAAGAAAAAAAUGAAAAAAAAAAUUCAAAAUGUUUUAUUUUACUUUAUUGGAAACAAUAAAUCUGAAUAGAAAUAGAACAAGAACCAAAAUACUCGAAACUAUAUCAGAUUCAUAUUAUAUCCAGAUCCAAACGUAAAACCAAACAAUUCAAACACUCUAACCAAACACAGCUUUAUACAUAAACAAAUGGUUCAUAUAUUUUAAACCACAAAACCCAAAACAACAACUAAAACUAAAAUUAAAAAUCGAUAUAAAUAAAUCAGAACUAUACUGAAAACCGAAUGUCUUGCCAAAACAUAUGAAUCAACAAACAUUCAUGUUAAUAAAAUUGCCAAAAAAAAAUAUUCCGCGCUUUCAAAGCGCGGGUCACUAUCUAGUCAAUACUAUUAAAACAGAAGACCUUUUUUUGAGGUGACCUCCUGUUUCAGCAGUAUUUACAAAAUCAUGCCACUGGCUUAAUUAAAACCAAUGUUUUUAUUUAAUUCUGUAUUUUUCAAAAUUCUUUUGAUUUAAAUAGCAACACCUAUAUUUAAUUAACAAUGCCUUCCUAUCGGGUUAUUUAAACAGCAACACCUACGUUUUACAAAACUUCAAUUGUUAUAAACAGCAACACUGAUUUUCAAUUCUUAUACAGUAUACGUACAUAACAUCUUUGUAUAUUGAUUCUGUUUUUCCAUCAACACCAAAGCUUGAACGUUUAUUGGAAUCUGCAAACUACCAAUAAAAACAAUACAUUCUGUUAAUACCAGUGUAUCUGUAUCGACCAUUCAUCACUUCCAAUCCAUGUUUUGGUUACAAAAGAUUGCACCAAAAAACAUACAUGUUGCAGUAUUCAAAAUCAUGAAAAUCUAACACUUUAUAGUAUUAUUCGUAAGCUUGCAUUUUUAUAUGUAUAGUAUGUGAUACAAACGAACCCAUAAACCCCAGAUCCUUUUCAGUAUUUUAAUUUAUUAAAAUAAAGCAAUAUCAUAAAUACCAAUCUUUUUUGGGUUUAAAAACCAUAAAUAGCUAUACCAUCAAAUAAAAAGCAAAAAUUUAAUCAAAUAAACUAUUUUUUCCGAAGUUGCUUAAAUAACAAUAACCAAUAUAUUAAAUCAUAAAUACCUGGUCGAGUUUUAUAUUUUCAUCUUUAAAAUAUCAAUAACAACCAAUCAAAACAAGAAGCCACAAAAUUUGGUAACUUAAAACUCUAUCAUGGAAUAAAAUUUUACAUAAUAAAUACACAUAAUUAAUAUCCUCACGGGAUUAACCACUGUGCAAUAUAUUCGACAAAAUUAUUGAAUUUUCAAAGUUUUUUUCAAAUCAAUAACCCAAAAUAUAAACCACUAAAUCAAAAGCUAAAAAUUUGGCAAAAAAAACUAGAUUUUCGGAAUACAUAACCAUAUCGAAUAAUCAUAAAUACCAAUCUUUUUCAAAUCAAUAACCAUAAGUAACUUUACCAUUAAAUAAAAAGCUUUCAUUUAAGCAAUUAACAAAAUUUUCGGAAGCUGCUUAAAUAUCAAUAACGAAUAUACAAAAUCAUAAAUAACUGGUCAAUCUUUAUAUUUUCAUAUCUUUAAAAUAUUAAUAACAACCAAUCAAAACAAGAAACUGCAGAUUUUGGUAAUUUUGAUCUAUAUUAUAAUAAACCAAAUAUCUAAUUUGUAUAACUUGAAUAAACUUGAUUCACAAAAUAUAUAUGAUUUGAAAAUAUAUUUAUAUAUAUAUAUGAUUUGAUUAAACUCACGGCAAAUAUUCUCUAACAACAUUGAAUUGGAAUAUCCUAAACCCAUGACCUUUUCUUUUGCUAUAUAUACAGCAUUUUAACCUCACGGCAAACACACAGAUUUCAAAACGUUUCACAAAAUCACACAUAAUGUCUUCUAAGAAAAAGAUGGUGUACCUUGAUGAGAGAUUAGGCCAUGGAAAACAAUUUGGUUGAUUGAAGCCAAAGUCAUACACACCUGAAAACCAUACAAUGUCGGGUUUGGUGAGACUUUAGAGAUCAUAUUUGCAGACAAAAAAGUAAAUGAAGCGACAUUUUGAAUUGAGUAGUAAUAUAUUACCUGAUUAACGUUAGCUACUGUCUCAUGCCAUCUCAGAAUUAUCCUAAUCUUCUUAGUUUAUUUCCUUACGUUUCUAAUCUGUAAAAGUGUAAAAAUAAUAACAUUUAAAUUCCUGAGUUGUCAUAGGUAUGCAUUCCUUACAUUUUGACCAAAUGAAUAUAUAUUAAAACAAGUAAGGAUGGUACUCAGUAGAACACUUAUCUUCAUACUGAUUGUUUGUAGUGCACAGCGUGGAUGACAACUGGACUGUAGUUCCUGAAAAUGUAUUUGUUUUCAAUCAAAUUAUUUUUUGUACUUAUAAAUGAUAAAUAUAUUAUAUCUCAAUAGUAAAUAAUUUUUUUUUGGUAAAAUACAAUAGUAAAUAAUUGACAGUAAUAGUAUAUUAUCUUUCAUUCAAUACGCA
This 5003-nucleotide long non-coding RNA is filed under the name Brassica napus (rape). RNAcentral's name for it is "long non-coding RNA (BNAP_LNC003008)". The record is from RNAcentral. Lineage: Eukaryota; Viridiplantae; Streptophyta; Magnoliopsida; Brassicales; Brassicaceae.